GGUUAAGCGACUAAGCGUACACGGUGGAUGCCCUGGCAGUCAGAGGCGAUGAAGGGCGUGCUAAUCUGCGAUAAGCGCCGGUAAGGUGAUAUGAACCGUUAUAACCGGCGAUACCCGAAUGGGGAAACCCAGUGUGACUCGUCACACUAUCAUUAACUGAAUCCAUAGGUUAAUGAGGCGAACCGGGGGAACUGAAACAUCUAAGUACCCCGAGGAAAAGAAAUCAACCGAGAUUCCCCCAGUAGCGGCGAGCGAACGGGGAGGAGCCCAGAGCCUGAAUCAGCAUGUGUGUUAGUGGAAGCGUCUGGAAAGGCGCGCGAUACAGGGUGACAGCCCCGUACACAAAAGCGCAUGUGCUGUGAGCUCGAUGAGUAGGGCGGGACACGUGGUAUCCUGUCUGAAUAUGGGGGGACCAUCCUCCAAGGCUAAAUACUCCUGACUGACCGAUAGUGAACCAGUACCGUGAGGGAAAGGCGAAAAGAACCCCGGCGAGGGGAGUGAAAAAGAACCUGAAACCGUGUACGUACAAGCAGUGGGAGCCCCACCACUAAGCCAGUGGUGAACUCCACAUACGCAUCCUUUGCUGAGGAUACGGUUAACGGAGCGAAAGCGACGUUCAACCGCAAAAGAAGCAGAGGGGGCUUAGUGGUGGGGUGACUGCGUACCUUUUGUAUAAUGGGUCAGCGACUUAUAUUCUGUAGCAAGGUUAACCGAAUAGGGGAGCCGGAGGGAAACCGAGUCUUAAUUGGGCGUUAAGUUGCAGGGUAUAGACCCGAAACCCGGUGAUCUAGCCAUGGGCAGGUUGAAGGUUGGGUAACACUAACUGGAGGACCGAACCGACUAAUGUUGAAAAAUUAGCGGAUGACCUGUGGCUGGGGGUGAAAGGCCAAUCAAACCGGGAGAUAGCUGGUUCUCCCCGAAAGCUAUUUAGGUAGCGCCUCGUGAAUUCAUCUCCGGGGGUAGAGCACUGUUUCGGCUAGGGGGCCAUCCCGGCUUACCAACCCGAUGCAAACUGCGAAUACCGGAGAAUGUUAUCACGGGAGACACACGGCGGGUGCUAACGUCCGUCGUGAAGAGGGAAACAACCCAGACCGCCAGCUAAGGUCCCAAAGUCAUGGUUAAGUGGGAAACGAUGUGGGAAGGCCCAGACAGCCAGGAUGUUGGCUUAGAAGCAGCCAUCAUUUAAAGAAAGCGUAAUAGCUCACUGGUCGAGUCGGCCUGCGCGGAAGAUGUAACGGGGCUAAACCAUGCACCGAAGCUGCGGCAGCGACGCUGAUGCGUUGUUGGGUAGGGGAGCGUUCUGUAAGCCUGCGAAGGUGACCUGUGAGGGUUGCUGGAGGUAUCAGAAGUGCGAAUGCUGACAUAAGUAACGAUAAAGCGGGUGAAAAGCCCGCUCGCCGGAAGACCAAGGGUUCCUGUCCAACGUUAAUCGGGGCAGGGUGAGUCGACCCCUAAGGCGAGGCCGAAAGGCGUAGUCGAUGGGAAACGGGUUAAUAUUCCCGUACUUGGUGUUACUGCGAAGGGGGGACGGAGAAGGCUAUGUUGGCCGGGCGACGGUUGUCCCGGUUUAAGCGUGUAGGUGUGUGUUCCAGGUAAAUCCGGUUCACUUUAACACUGAGGCGUGACGACGAGGCACUACGGUGCUGAAGCAACAAAUGCCCUGCUUCCAGGAAAAGCCUCUAAGCAUCAGGUAACAUCAAAUCGUACCCCAAACCGACACAGGUGGUCAGGUAGAGAAUACCAAGGCGCUUGAGAGAACUCGGGUGAAGGAACUAGGCAAAAUGGUGCCGUAACUUCGGGAGAAGGCACGCUGACACGUAGGUGAAGUGAUUUACUCAUGGAGCUGAAGUCAGUCGAAGAUACCAGCUGGCUGCAACUGUUUAUUAAAAACACAGCACUGUGCAAACACGAAAGUGGACGUAUACGGUGUGACGCCUGCCCGGUGCCGGAAGGUUAAUUGAUGGGGUCAGCGCAAGCGAAGCUCCUGAUCGAAGCCCCGGUAAACGGCGGCCGUAACUAUAACGGUCCUAAGGUAGCGAAAUUCCUUGUCGGGUAAGUUCCGACCUGCACGAAUGGCGUAAUGAUGGCCAGGCUGUCUCCACCCGAGACUCAGUGAAAUUGAACUCGCUGUGAAGAUGCAGUGUACCCGCGGCAAGACGGAAAGACCCCGUGAACCUUUACUAUAGCUUGACACUGAACAUUGAGCCUUGAUGUGUAGGAUAGGUGGGAGGCUUUGAAGUGUGGACGCCAGUCUGCAUGGAGCCGACCUUGAAAUACCACCCUUUAAUGUUUGAUGUUCUAACGUGGACCCGUUACCCGGGUUGCGGACAGUGUCUGGUGGGUAGUUUGACUGGGGCGGUCUCCUCCUAAAGAGUAACGGAGGAGCACGAAGGUUGGCUAAUCCUGGUCGGACAUCAGGAGGUUAGUGCAAUGGCAUAAGCCAGCUUGACUGCGAGCGUGACGGCGCGAGCAGGUGCGAAAGCAGGUCAUAGUGAUCCGGUGGUUCUGAAUGGAAGGGCCAUCGCUCAACGGAUAAAAGGUACUCCGGGGAUAACAGGCUGAUACCGCCCAAGAGUUCAUAUCGACGGCGGUGUUUGGCACCUCGAUGUCGGCUCAUCACAUCCUGGGGCUGAAGUAGGUCCCAAGGGUAUGGCUGUUCGCCAUUUAAAGUGGUACGCGAGCUGGGUUUAGAACGUCGUGAGACAGUUCGGUCCCUAUCUGCCGUGGGCGCUGGAGAACUGAGGGGGGCUGCUCCUAGUACGAGAGGACCGGAGUGGACGCAUCACUGGUGUUCGGGUUGUCAUGCCAAUGGCACUGCCCGGUAGCUAAAUGCGGAAGAGAUAAGUGCUGAAAGCAUCUAAGCACGAAACUUGCCCCGAGAUGAGUUCUCCCUGAGACUUAAAGUCUCCUGAAGGAACGUUGAAGACGACGACGUUGAUAGGCCGGGUGUGUAAGCGCAGCGAUGCGUUGAGCUAACCGGUACUAAUGAACCGUGAGGCUUAACCUU
RNAcentral lists this ribosomal RNA (3007 nucleotides) under Salmonella enterica subsp. enterica serovar Heidelberg. RNAcentral's name for it is "23S ribosomal RNA". It matches the Rfam family "Bacterial large subunit ribosomal RNA". Lineage: Bacteria; Pseudomonadati; Pseudomonadota; Gammaproteobacteria; Enterobacterales; Enterobacteriaceae. The record is from RNAcentral.